UCUUAUCUUGACGGCACAGAUGGCAUCAUCGUGUUGAGUGACAGUUGUAAUGUAAAUAGGCGAAUAAUGAGCCUCGGCUCUACUUGUUUUCGUCAUAGCCGCACGUCCCGCCCCCAAACACAAUUGUUGCUUUGUGAUUGGGCCACUUGACUAGUGGUACUGCUCGCAGCAGAUCUGUGGGUUCGGGACAAGAUGUAUUCUGUUUGUUUUUUUGUUUUUGUUUUUUUAACUCUCAAACACUGCAAAAAUUCACUUUUCAGGCAAGGAAACAGAGAUCAAAGGAAUUACUACCGGAGAUCAACAAGAUUACUGUACAUUCACAUCAGAAAGGAGCUAAAAAGUCAAGAGAGAAUCACAACAUUGGGAUCAGAGAUUAAAAUCACAAUUCAAAAUAGACACUACAGUGGGACCUUGGCAUCUCCGCUGAGGCUGGGCUGCAGAAGCGCGGUCAGUGACUUGUUGAUGGCGGCAGCCUCUACUAAGCGUGGGCCUUCGGCCUCCGUCCGGGAGAUACGCUCGGACCCGGCCAGGUCGCCCAAGGUCAACGUACCCCGUGUACUCUCUCCAGACAACGAGUCAUUGCCACAAACCUCCAGCGCUACCAGCAAGUGAGAGCGAGAACUAAAUGCAAGAAUACAGAAGUGUCCAUGACGUUGAUGAUGUCAUCCUCGGUCCGAACCUCCACGUGGGUCAGUCCCGGCACAGACACAAACUUACCCUGCACGCGGAUGUCCAGAGUGGAGGAAGCGGUAGGGUUUUUCGCUAGCAGGUCGUUCAGAGUGUCGUUGUAAAUCUCCAACAUGGAAAUCUGCAUGCAUCCCAAACCCCAAAAAGUUACUGUUAAUGUCUUUGAAGGAGA
Molecule: long non-coding RNA, 859 nt
Organism: Hippocampus zosterae (dwarf seahorse)
Lineage: Eukaryota; Metazoa; Chordata; Actinopteri; Syngnathiformes; Syngnathidae
Exons: 3
Source: RefSeq, a predicted model, not a curated record